CAGCAGAUGCGUGGAUUAGAACCCAGGUCCUUCUGACUCCAGACUCCGAUUCUUCCCGAAGCUUGGCACGGGCCUACGUGAGCUAGGCGUUUUCUCGAAACCGAGGUCUUUUCAAGAAGACAAAACUCUGACCUCUCGGCCGACCUCAUUCUGCAAAAAGAGGAGUGCGGAGCCUAUCCGUCUGUAGUGCGAGACGAGAUGUGGUCACUGAGGCUCAGAGAAGUGAAGUGAC
This is a long non-coding RNA of Ornithorhynchus anatinus (platypus), 232 nucleotides long. RefSeq lists it as uncharacterized. The transcript is spliced from 3 exons. Lineage: Eukaryota; Metazoa; Chordata; Mammalia; Monotremata; Ornithorhynchidae. The record is from RefSeq and is a predicted model, not a curated record.